UCUCUCUCGUCUGUCUUUGCAGAGCGUUGACGAACUGGAGCGGAAUGGCGCCCUCCUGUGGGCGGAGGGGCAACUGCAGCGUUCCGUCUACACUGGCUGUUUUGCUCUCUCUCUCUCGUCUGUCUUUGCAGAUCGUUGACGAACUGGUGCGGAACGGCGCCCUCCUGUGGGCGGAGGGGCAACUGCAGCGUUCCGUCUACACUGGCUGUUUUGCUCUCUCUCUCUCGUCUGUCUUUGCAGAUCGUUGACGAACUGGAGCGGAACGGCGCCCUCCUGUGGGCGGAGGGGCAGCGUUCCGUCUCCACUGGCUGUUUUGCUCUCUCUCUCUCAUCUGUCUUUGCAGAUCGUUGACGAACUGGAGCGGAACGGCGCCCUCUUGUGGGCGGAGGGGCAGCGUUCCGUCUCCACUGGCUGUUUUGCUCUCUCUCAUGUCUUUGCAGAUCGUUGAACAACUGGAGCGGAACGGCGCCCUCUUGUGUGCGGAGGACGCAACUGCAGCGUUCAUUCUCCACUGGCUGUUUUGCUCUCUCUCUCCCCCCCGUCUUUGCAGAUCGUUGACGGAGCGGAACGGCGCCCUCCUGUGGGCGGAACGGCAACUGCAGCGUUCCGUCUCCACUGGAUGUUUUGCUCUCUCUCUCUCUCUCGUCUGUCUUUGCAGAUCGUUGACGAACUGGAGCGGAACGGUGCCCUCCUGUGGCAAGAGGGCGCAACUGCAGCGUUCAGUCUCCACUGGAUGCUGCUUUGCUCGGUGACCUCCGAGGUCGUCGAGCAUGUGCCACGUUGGCAGAUUGUGCUGAUUUAGGGCACCUGCGGCGCCCAGGACGCAGUCUACACGAGUAGUGAGCCCGUUUGGCUCUCUGUCGCUGCUUUCCACAGGUGCCCUGUGGCUGAAAAGAAGUUGGAGCAGCAGCUAUCAAUGAGAUUCAGAAGAUCCAGAGAGCGGUGUGAGACUUUUGACCGGAGUGGCUGCAGCGUCCGUUCCAAGAUGGUGAUCCUGAUGUGGUUGGAAAAUUGUGCUGAAGAGGCAACCUGAGGCUAAAGUGUAUUUCAACAGCCACGUAAAUCUGAGCUGACGCUCCAGGUUUCAUUGCAAGUGUUCAUGCACUUGAAAGGAAUUUGAAUGAGUGUAUUUUUUUUGCAGGCUGACAACCACUUGACGAGGGCAUUGAAGUUCCAAGUAAAUUUGAAGAAAAGUCUCACUUCAUCCAAUAAUGUGCAUCCUCUGGCCUCGUGUUUUGAAAUGGCUGUGACAGUUGUAUUCCAAGUAAGUGGUGUAAGCAGGUUGUGAAUUUGUAGUGGUUUUGUUUUUGCAGUUUCCUGAGGACCACUGCUGCGGUGACGUGCCCGGUUAUUGUUGUCAGAGCAGGGGACAAUGGGAAUAGCAUUAACAGGUUCCUGAGCCAGUGGGAGGAGAAGGCACCAGGAGAGCAGACCAGUGAGUAAAUGACAUGGUUGCAAACAGCAUCCUUGUCAUUUGCAAUGUUUGUUUUGAAUAAAGGUUUUUUGG
Molecule: long non-coding RNA, 1507 nt
Organism: Phycodurus eques (leafy seadragon)
Lineage: Eukaryota; Metazoa; Chordata; Actinopteri; Syngnathiformes; Syngnathidae
Exons: 4
Source: RefSeq, a predicted model, not a curated record